CAGAAUCAAAAACUGCAGCAGCUACAAUGAGGGUAAAAACUAGAAAGAAGGAUUUAUUAUGUUCCUUAGUUUAUUCAGCCACGAAAGAGUGACUUAAAAAAAUGUACACUUCUUCCAAAGUGAAAAUUAUGGGAUGUCUUACUUAUGGAAUGCUCCUACACACUGAGGUUGUUCUUGCUGACCCCUCGUUUCUAUGAGAAGUUUAUUAUAACAUACCAAGUCGAUAGUUUACUGCAAACAAAAUGGAUAAUAAACCUGAUGUUUCAACAAAACUACAGGAACUCACGCAUGAUGUACCCAAAGGUAACUGGUUCUUGACACACUACAAAUCUGUGGUAGUCCUUUUCCAUCUUGAAGACGAAUCAACGCUGUGUUUAGAAUCAGCUGUUCCCAACAUGCGAAUUGCGCACAGAAAACGGAGCGCUCCAUUAGAGCGUGCUUAAUUAAGUAUUAGCUUUUUUUUUCAAAAAUGGGUCCAUAUGAUUUUUUGAAGCAACUUUUGUAUAGAAACCUUUUGCAAAAAACACACCGUAUAGCAGUUUGAGAAGCUUGCGCGCGGAAUACGAUGGAGAUGGGUUGGGAACCCUGGAUUCCAAACACAGACCAAGUCUAUCCAAAAUGUUUAGACAAGAAAAUACGUAACAAGUUGGUUUACAGAAAUACGAAUUAGAUCAAUCCUGCACUACAAGCAGAGUAAAAUGGUGAUUUCUCUUAAAUCUCUCGAAUGGUGAUUUAAGAAUUCAGUGCAAACCUAAUCCUUGCUAUAAUCAAAUGUUCGGUACCGCAUCAGAGGAACAAAAAAAAGCGCCUGGCGUACCAUAAUUUUGUCAUUCUUGUUGAAAUUUGUAAUUUAUGAUGCAUGAGGCCACACGACCUUAAUGUUCAACGUGUCAUGCAUUAGUGAAAUAAUAGCUCAGAAAACGCAGCAAAUAUAGCUAGAUAACGGUUGCAAUCCUGACCAAACUAACGUAUAAAGUGAGCGAUGAGUCAUAUCAUUAUCUCCCGCCUGCUAACCAUCGUGUACACCAUCCGAUCCCAAAAAUGACAACUUCUAGGGAUGAACCUGGACAAGGUUUAGGGUUUAGGGAUGAAUCUGGACAAAUGAUUGUUCAGGUUCAUCCCUAGAUGUUGGUUUCUCCUUACGGGAUGGAGGGAGUAUAUGUGAUGGACACAAAAGUUACUUUCAUGAUGAAACCAAAGGGGAUUUGUUGGGGCACCUAAUAGAACAUCUGUCCAAAUGGCAUGACUCACUUAUAUCCUAAUAGGACAUCCAAGAAAAACUAACACUCUAAAGCAACCGAUGAGGAAUUGAAAGAAAAUACGUGCCACCGCAUCUAUAAAUGGACAAGCGCAAUGGAAACCCUCCUCAUCGUUCACACAGUUCAAGCAUUAUACAGCAAAAUAGAAAGAUCUAGUGUCCCGCAGCAAUGAAGAUCAUUUUCGUCUUUGCUCUCCUUGCUAUUGCUGCAUGCAGCGCCUCUGCACAGUUUGAUGUUUUAGGUCAAAGUUAUAGGCAAUAUCAGCUGCAGUCGCCUGUCCUGCUACAGCAACAGGUGCUUAGCCCAUAUAAUGAGUUCGUAAGGCAGCAGUAUGGCAUAGCGGCAAGCCCCUUCUUGCAAUCAGCUGUGUUUCAACUGAGAAACAACCAAGUCUGGCAACAGCUCGCGCUGGUGGCGCAACAAUCUCACUAUCAGGACAUUAACAUUGUUCAGGCCAUAGCGCAGCAGCUACAACUCCAGCAGUUUGGUGAUCUCUACUUUGAUCGGAAUCUGGCUCAAGCUCAAGCUCUGUUGGCUUUUAACGUGCCAUCUAGAUAUGGUAUCUACCCUAGGUACUAUGGUGCACCCAGUACCAUUACCACCCUUGGCGGUGUCUUGUAAUGAGUUUUAACAGUAUAGUGGUUCGGAAGUUAAAAAUAAGCUCAGAUAUCAUCAUAUGUGACAUGUGAAACUUUGGGUGAUAUAAAUAGAAAAAAAGUUGUCUUUCAUAUUUAAAUACCAUGCCUCUAUAAGGAUAUAUCCUAUUACGUUGUCGUGACUAAUUACCAUCAUCGGUACUCUACAAUUUUACUGUGUGCUUACAUUCGAUCCGAAGCUACUUUGUUUUUAAGAUAGAAAUGGAGCGUAUAAAGGAUGUCCGUCCUUUUAUUCCAAUAAGAACAAACACAAAGCACAUAUGGAAAAUACUAAAUCCACUACAACAAAAUCAUAGACCAUACAAAGCAGGUAAAGAUGUAGCAAUCCACAUUGAUUCUUCAUCCACUACUACAACAAGCGCAUAUGAAAGGCCGCAUAUGCAUGAUCAUUGUGAAUAUGACAUGCCCUUGUCGAGCAAACGUGUCACUUCAUGCAAAUAUGUUGUUUCAAGCGACAUCAAUAUAUGGUUACAAAAUUUUAAACAUUGGUAUAUUAAUGACUUUCAUAUAUGCAUAUUAAUUUCAAUUCAAAGACAUCUUGUUGUCCGUCAUUCCUAACAAGAGGUAGUGUACAAGGCAUUAUUUAGUUGAGCUCUCGCUCACUUUGCAUCACAGAAGCAUAACCUAGACAUAGGUAAUUCAUUAUAGAAUCAAAAACUGCAGCAGCAACAAUGAGGGUAAAAACUAGAAAGAAGGAUUUAUUAUGUUCCUUAGUUUAUUCAGCCACGAAAGAGUGACUGAAAAAAAAUGUACACGUCUUCCAAAGUGAAAAUUAUGGGAUGUCUUACUUAUGGAAUGCUCCUACACACUGAGGUUGUUCUUGCUGACCCCUCGUUUCUAUGAGAAGUAUAUUAUAACAUACCAAGUCGAUAGUUUACUGCAAACAAAAUGGAUAAUAAACCUGAUGUUUCAACAAAACUACAGGAACUCACGCAUGAUGUACCCAAAGGUAAUUGGUUCUUGACACACUACAAAUCUGUGGUAGUCCUUUUCCAUCUCGAAGACGAAUCAACGCUGUGUUUAGAAUCAGCUGUUCCCAACAUGCGAAUUGCGCACAGAAAACGGAGCGCUCCAUUAGAGCGUGAUUAAUUAAGUAUUAGCUUUUUUUUUCAAAAAUGGGUCCAUAUGAAUUUUUGAAGCAACUUUUGUAUAGAAACCUUUUGCAAAAAACACACCGUAUAGCAGUUUGAGAAGCUUGCGCGCGGAAUACGAUGGAGGUGGGUUGGGAACCCUGGAUUCCAAACACAGCCCAAGUCUAUCCAAAAUGUUUAGACCAGAAAAUACGUAACAAGUUGGUUUACAGAAAUACGAAUUAGAUCAAUCCUGCACUACAAGUAGAGUAAAGUGGUGAUUUCUCUUAAAUCUCUCGAAUGGUGAUUUAAGAAUUCAAUGCAAACCUAAUCCUUGCUAUAAUCAAAUGUUCGGUACCGCAUCAAGGGAACAAUAAAAAGCGCCUGGCGUACCAUAAUUUUGUCAUUCUUGUUGAAAUUUGUAAUUUAUGAUGCAUGAGGCCACACGACCUUAAUGUUCA
This 3446-nucleotide long non-coding RNA is filed under the name Oryza sativa (Asian cultivated rice). RNAcentral's name for it is "long non-coding RNA (OSAT_LNC000972)". Lineage: Eukaryota; Viridiplantae; Streptophyta; Magnoliopsida; Poales; Poaceae. The record is from RNAcentral.